GACCUGAAGUGCAAGUGCGAGUGUGUCCAUUCUGGGACAGGAACAUAGAUCCAUAGACAGGAACAUAGAACAUCUAUUUCUUGUGGGGUCAAACAGAGCCAGCAAGCAGAGUGCUGAUUAGUCUGAAGGAUCUGGGUUCGAGUGCCUCCUCCUGCUGUAGAACCCUUCAGUAGAGAACAGCAGGCAGCCCCCCCCCAAGGGUGCGCGUUCCUUCACGAUGGGGUGUCACCCACGGUGCGACCUCAGGAGCCACCCGUGCGUGUGUUACUCUUCCCGGAGAGACAACCACCGGACGAAAAAGAGAUGUAUCUCGAGACGUCGUCGUCAGCACUCCAACUUCUGAAAUAUGCGGAACAUCGACACCUGGCGCAGAGUAACGGCUUGUCCUGAGCAGGGUCACGGUGGCG
Molecule: long non-coding RNA, 407 nt
Organism: Scleropages formosus (Asian bonytongue)
Lineage: Eukaryota; Metazoa; Chordata; Actinopteri; Osteoglossiformes; Osteoglossidae
Exons: 3
Source: RefSeq, a predicted model, not a curated record